AGCGAACGCUGGCGGCAUGCUUAACACAUGCAGGUCGCGCGGGCGGUUUUCGGACCGUUAGCGGCGGACGGGUGAGUAUCGCGUAGGAACAUAUCCUGAGGUGGGGGACAACCCUGGGAAACUGGGGCUAAUACCGCAUGACUGUUGAGGCAGAAAGCCUUCGGGUGCCUUGGGAGUGGCCUGCGUCCGAUUAGGUAGUUGGUGGGGUAAAGGCCUACCAAGCCUGCGAUCGGUAGCGGUCUGAGAGGACGAUCAGCCACACUGGGACUGAGACACGGCCCAGACUCCUACGGGAGGCAGCAGUGGGGAAUAUUGCACAAUGGGCGCAAGCCUGAUGCAGCAACGCCGCGUGCGGGAUGACGGCC
RNAcentral lists this ribosomal RNA (365 nucleotides) under uncultured bacterium. RNAcentral's name for it is "bacterial SSU rRNA". It matches the Rfam family "Bacterial small subunit ribosomal RNA", at positions 28 to 416 of the family's 1533-position model. The record is from RNAcentral.